AGCAUGAAUGCUGAGUCACAUGGUAAGAGUUUGCUUAGUUUUUUGGGAAACUAUCAAGCUGUACUUCAAAGUGACUGAACCAUUUUAUAUUCCCUCCAGCAGC
Molecule: microRNA precursor, 103 nt
Filed under: Marmota monax (woodchuck)
Lineage: Eukaryota; Metazoa; Chordata; Mammalia; Rodentia; Sciuridae
Source: RNAcentral